RNAcentral lists this ribosomal RNA (2097 nucleotides) under Triticum aestivum (bread wheat). RNAcentral describes it as "partial small subunit ribosomal RNA". Lineage: Eukaryota; Viridiplantae; Streptophyta; Magnoliopsida; Poales; Poaceae. The record is from RNAcentral.
AUGCCGAGGCCGCGUCAUUCCGAGCCGUGGCCGCAGCACAUCGUCAGACUUGCCAAGCGGCGGCGCACGCGUACACAGAUGGCCGCGAUCCCACCACGAACGUCGGUGCUGCUGCUGGCGCUGGCCGUCGCCGCUCUCGGCUGCCACGCCGUGGAGCCGCCGAAGCAAGAGCGGACGGCGCUGCAGUCCUUCCUCGCCGCCUUGCCGCACGAGCGCGAUCUGGGCUGGAACUCGCCGUCCGCGCCCUCGGCGUGCCUCUGGCCCGGCGUCGCCUGCGACGCGAGCAACGCCACGGUCGUCGCCGUCCGCCUCCCCGGCGUCGGCCUCGCCGGUGCCCUCCCCGCCGGCACGCUCGGCGAGCUCCGGGGCCUCCGGAAGCUCUCCCUCCGCAACAACCGCCUCUUCGGCCCCAUCCCCAAGGACUUCUUCGCGCUGCCCCUGCUCCGCUCGCUCUACCUCCAGGGGAACCGUCUCUCCGGCUCCAUCCCGCCCGAGGUCGCCGGGCUCGCGGCGCUCUGGCACCUCGCGCUCUACGACAACCACCUGUCCGGUGAGAUACCGGCCGCGCUCGACGGCCUGAGGGAGCUACGGUUGCUUAGGCUCGACGGCAACCGCCUCUCCGGUGGCCUUCAGAGCCUGAGCGGCCUCCAGCGGCUCAAGGUGUUUAAUGUCUCGGACAACCAGCUCGCCGGCGCCGUCCCGCCCUCCCUCGCGAACUUCUCGCUAGAGUCAUUCGCCGGCAACCUUCGGCUCUGCGGCGAGCCCCUCGACCGGCCAUGCCCGUCCCCCGGCGGCGGAGUCGUCCCACCGGUGCAAGAGAAGAAGAGGAAGCGGCUCUCCGGCACGGCGGUCGCGGCCAUCGCCGUGGGCGCCGCGGCUGGCGCGCUGCUCGUUCUCAUCCUGCUCGUGCUCUGCUUUGUCCGCCGCCGCCGGGACGACGCGGCAGCCAGCGGCGACGACAGGAACAAGGCGCCCACGCCGGCGACGCCGGCGAGAGGGCACACGCUGACGCCGUCGACGGUGUCAGGCGAGAUGACCGACCUGACGUCUUCAAAGGAGAUACCCUCGGCGGCGGGCGGCGGCGCGGCGGAGAUGAUGAGGAGCCGGCUGGUGUUCAUGGGCGGCGGCGGCUACAGCUUCGACCUGGAGGACCUGCUGCGGGCGUCGGCGGAGGUGCUGGGGAACGGCGUCGCGGGGCCGACGUACAGGGCGACGCUGGAGGACGGGACGACGGUGGCGGUGAAGCGGCUGAAGAACGUGGCGGCGGAGCGACAGGAGUUCGCGUCCGCCGUGGAGACGUUGGGCCGGGUGCAGCACCGCAACCUGCUCCCCGUCCGCGGCUACUACUACUCCAGCGACGAGAAGCUCCUCGUCGCCGACUUCCUGCCCGACGGCAGCCUCUCCGCCGCGCUCCACGGUAGUGGCGGCUCCGGCCGGACAAGGAUGGACUGGAACACGCGGAAGCGGGCCACGCUGUCGGCAGCGCGCGGGGUGGCGCACCUGCACGCGGCACACGGCCUCACCCAUGGAAACUUGAAGUCGUCCAACCUGCUACUCCGGCACGGCGACCCGGAAGCCGCAGCGCUUUCCGACUACUCCCUUCAGCACCUCUUCUCCCCACCACCGUCGUCAGUGCAAGGCAGUGUCGGUGGGUACCGCGCGCCGGAGCUCGUGGAUGCGCGUCGGCCGACAUUCAAGUCGGACAUAUACUCGCUCGGAGUGCUCUUCCUUGAGAUCCUCACCGGCAGGUCCCCCACGGCGGCGUCGACCGGUGUGGGUGACAGCGGUGUGUCGUCGGACCUGCCGCGAUGGGUACAAUCGGUGGUAAGGGAGGAGUGGACGGCGGAGGUGUUCGACGCGGAGCUGGUGAGCCUGGAUGAGGGCGGCGCCGAGGAGGAGAUGGUGGCGCUGCUGCAGGUGGCCAUGGCGUGUGCGGCCACGGCGCCGGACGCGCGGCCAGACGCCUCGGAGGUCGUGAGGAUGGUCGAGGAGAUCGGCGUCGGGCACGGGCGGGCCACGACAGAGGAUAGAGCGCAGGGUGCAUCCGAGGAGGAGGAGCAGUCAUGGGGCACGCCGACGGCCAGCGCAACGUCGUGA